This 829-nucleotide long non-coding RNA is filed under the name Sorghum bicolor (sorghum). RNAcentral describes it as "long non-coding RNA (SBIC_LNC017423)". Lineage: Eukaryota; Viridiplantae; Streptophyta; Magnoliopsida; Poales; Poaceae. The record is from RNAcentral.
CCGGGACUAAAGGUCCACCUUUAGUCCCGGUUGGUAACAGAAACCGGGACUAAAAGGUGCGCCAGGGUGUGCCACCUGGCCUCCACUUUUAGUCCCGGUUGUUGUUACGACUAAAGACUUUUUUUCUUUUUUCUUUUUCUUUUCAUUUGGUUUUCCAUUUAGGGUUUACAAUUAUGUUAUUGUUAUUUUCGAAUGCGUAUUGUUUGCUGGUAGUUUAUGGAACGCACACCUAUAUAAUUUAUAUAAUUUAAAGGAUUACAUAUAAAUAUACUAUAAAACACUAUAUAUAUAUAUAAAUAAUUAUAUCUAUAGGUCCAUAAUAAAAUAUUUACACAUAUGCUUCACGGACAAAGUAUUUACAACACAAUUUUUCUCCACCACUCAAGCAUCGUACAAAUGAUCAUCGUUAUUUGGUUUCAUCUGCUCCUGAGGGUUGAAAUAGCACUCGCCGCCGGAAUCUAGGACUUGGUCAUUAAGAAAUCCUGCGAUUGUCUCCUGAAUUCCUUUUAGGCACACCGCAUCCAACACCUGCUCCUUCAGCCACAUCUCCUUUAAUAGACAUUAAAGAAAAAAGUUAGAGGUAUGAAUAGGAUUUAUUAAAUAGCAACAAAUAAAUGAAAUAUACUUAUUAUAUAUACAUGUUACAUACUUUUAGGUGCUCAAGAUUAGUUCUUUUGGCAUACACCGGCAUAAACUCGCACACAUAGUAGCCACACAAAUUGUUGCCCGGUGUCUGCCGUAGAACCCACUGAAGUAAGAUGGGCUUUGAAAGUGAUGCAUUCAACUCUGGACGGUGUUUCUGCACGAACCCAGCCCAAACCCUAGCAAU